Molecule: ribosomal RNA, 427 nt
Filed under: uncultured Actinomycetes bacterium
Lineage: Bacteria; Bacillati; Actinomycetota; Actinomycetes
Description: bacterial SSU rRNA
Rfam family: Bacterial small subunit ribosomal RNA
Source: RNAcentral
UCGCGGCCUAUUAGCUAGUUGGUGAGGUGACGGCUCACCAAGGCGACGAUGGGUAGCUGGUCUGAGAGGAUGGUCAGCCACAUCGGGACUGAGAUACUGCCCGGACUUCUACGGAAGGCUGCAGUCGAGAAUCUUGGGCAAUGCGCGAAAGCGUGACCCAGCGACGCCGCGUGGGGGAUGAAGGCCUUCGGGUUGUAAACCCCUCUUCGGUGGGAAGAACGCCCCGACUCGGUCGGGGCUGACGGUACCACUGGAAUAAGCCACGGCUAACUACGUGCCAGCAGCCGCGGUAAUACGUAGGUGGCAAGCGUUGUCCGGAUUUACUGGGCGUAAAGCGUCCGCAGGCGGCCUGCUUAGUUGGGUGUGAAAGGUUGGGGCUCAACCCCAAGCGGCACCCAAUACUGGCUGGCUGGAGUCUCGGAGAGGA